GCUCAGGUGGUGGAAUGGUAUACACGUACGCUUGAGGUGCGUAUACCGCAAGGUGUGGGAGUUCGAAUCUCCUCCUGAGUA
RNAcentral lists this transfer RNA (81 nucleotides) under Bacteroidia bacterium. Its description in RNAcentral is "tRNA-Leu". It matches the Rfam family "tRNA". From Rfam's summary of the family: Transfer RNA (tRNA) molecules are approximately 80 nucleotides in length. Their secondary structure includes four short double-helical elements and three loops (D, anti-codon, and T loops). Further hydrogen bonds mediate the characteristic L-shaped molecular structure. tRNAs have two regions of fundamental functional importance: the anti-codon, which is responsible for specific mRNA codon recognition, and the 3' end, to which the tRNAs corresponding amino acid is attached (by aminoacyl-tRNA synthetases). tRNAs cope with the degeneracy of the genetic code in two manners: having more than one tRNA (with a specific anti-codon) for a particular amino acid; and 'wobble' base-pairing, i.e. permitting non-standard base-pairing at the 3rd anti-codon position. The record is from RNAcentral. Lineage: Bacteria; Pseudomonadati; Bacteroidota; Bacteroidia.